UGCAGUCGAGCGGACCGACGGGAGCUUGCUCCCUUAGGUCAGCGGCGGACGGGUGAGUAACACGUGGGUAACCUGCCUGUAAGACUGGGAUAACUCCGGGAAACCGGGGCUAAUACCGGAUGCUUGAUUGAACCGCAUGGUUCAAUCAUGAAAGGCGGCUUCGGCUGCCGUUUACAGAUGGACCCGCGGCGCAUUAGCUAGUUGGUGAGGUAACGGCUCACCAAGGCGACGAUGCGUAGCCGACCUGAGAGGGUGAUCGGCCACACUGGGACUGAGACACGGCCCAGACUCCUACGGGAGGCAGCAGUAGGGAAUCUUCCGCAAUGGACGAGAGUCUGACGGAGCAACGCCGCGUGAGUGAUGAAGGUUUUCGGAUCGUACAGCUCUGUUGUUAGGGAAGAACAAGUACCGUUCGAAUAGGGCGGUACCUUGACGGUACCUAACCAGAAAGCCACGGCUAACUACGUGCCAGCAGCCGCGGUAAUACGUAGGUGGCAAGCGUUGUCCGGAAUUAUUGGGCGUAAAGCGCGC
This 531-nucleotide ribosomal RNA is filed under the name Bacillus sp. CSu4_35. RNAcentral describes it as "bacterial SSU rRNA". It matches the Rfam family "Bacterial small subunit ribosomal RNA", at positions 56 to 570 of the family's 1533-position model. Lineage: Bacteria; Bacillati; Bacillota; Bacilli; Caryophanales; Bacillaceae. The record is from RNAcentral.